GAGGACCACUUUCAGUACCAAUCACAGUGGAUUCUUGGGUAAGUGGAACAUCUGUUGGUGGACCUUGGGUGCCUUGUGUUUGUUCAGAAGCAGAUUGGGCAGUAGGUCUUUGUGGACAGCCUUUCUUGUUGUGACCAAGCUCGUUACAUAUACCACAUUUUUUUCUCUGCCCACCCUUUCUUAACUCACUGUCAUUCUU
This 199-nucleotide long non-coding RNA is filed under the name Vigna radiata. RNAcentral's name for it is "long non-coding RNA (VRAD_LNC000480)". Lineage: Eukaryota; Viridiplantae; Streptophyta; Magnoliopsida; Fabales; Fabaceae. The record is from RNAcentral.